Camellia sinensis is the source of this 1215-nucleotide non-coding RNA. Lineage: Eukaryota; Viridiplantae; Streptophyta; Magnoliopsida; Ericales; Theaceae. The record is from RefSeq and is a predicted model, not a curated record.
UGACAAAUUCGCAGCGGGGGUUCUUCUCUCUCUUUGCUCUAUAAAUUGCAAUUUAUGUGCCCUAAUUGAUUUUUCCUUGUCAAAUGCAUUUUUGUUCUUUCCAGGUUUCUAUUUUAGUGUUAAUUCCUCUAUUAGUUUCAUCCACUAGAUCUGUCAAUUUAGUUCUGGAUUGAAAAUCUGGAAAAUAUUUCAGAAAGGAAAUGACAUUUUAAAAACUGCAUUUUUUCAUUUCAAUUAAUGAAACUAAUAGAAGUCACUUCAGUUAUGAUUUUGUUAGCUUUCUGCAACAAAUUAAGCAUUCAAUGAUCAUACUGAGAAUUCUUAGCAAUAAGAAUUAGUCCCUUGAGGUAACGGACAUUGCUUGUACCUAUCAUCGUAUUCUUGUUCCAAAAACCUUUACUGGUUUUUCUUUUGUGUCUCAAAAGGAAGAAGGAAAGAGAAAACAUUCACUAUUAUCUAUUUUUUGAUUUUGAGCUUCUUGAGUUCUGAAUCCUUCUGUUUAUUUUGUUGCUACUAGUUUCAUUGAUGUCUUUUAAUCUAGUACCUCUGUUGUGGUGUUGAUGGAAGCAACAGGCCUGGAGAUGUUGAAUUUUGUUAGAAUUUUUGUGUUCUUGACUGACCAUUUUGCCCUUGUAUUGCCAGCUAGUUUUUGUAGACUUAGUUUUAGCACUUCUAAUAAAACAUAAAUUCUUCUUGAUAUGGACUGACUAAAUUAAGGCCCUAAAAUAUUAUUUCAUCGUGUAAUAUUUUUCAGCCGAUCUUUCAAAGGUAUCCACGGCCUGAGAAGGAGUACCAGUCCUCUCUUAUGUAAAACGACAGGUCACUAGAUUUGGUAAGCAUCUCAUUUGACAUAUCCAUUUCCUUCUUAAUUUUCAGUUGCUGCAAUGAUCUUCCUAAAAUACCAAUUCUUUUCUGCUAUUUUAGAGUAGUUUCCAAAUAGAUAUAUAUUUUACUCUAUUUGUAAUUUGGUAAAUGACUUUCAUUCUAGAUUUGUAAAGAUAAAGAUGAAGCUGAGCAAUGGUUUAUUGGUUUAAAAGCAUUAAUUUCGGGUGGUCAUCAACGGAAGUGGAGAACGGAAACAAGGAGUGAUGGUAUUCCAUCUGAAGCUAAUAGUCCCCGAACAUACACUCGAAGAAGUUCUCCUUUGAACUAUUCACUUGGUAGCGGUGAUAGCUUGUAGAAGAGAGAGAGAGACGAAGAAGCAGAAGAAGAAGA